Molecule: ribosomal RNA, 625 nt
Filed under: uncultured bacterium
Lineage: Bacteria
Description: bacterial SSU rRNA
Rfam family: Bacterial small subunit ribosomal RNA (bases 1-542)
Source: RNAcentral
CCUACGGGAGGCAGCAGUGGGGAAUUUUGGACAAUGGGCGAAAGCCUGAUCCAGCCAUUCCGCGUGCAGGAUGAAGGCCCUCGGGUUGUAAACUGCUUUUGUACAGAACGAAAAGGUUUCUAUUAAUACUAGGAGCUCAUGACGGUACUGUAAGAAUAAGCACCGGCUAACUACGUGCCAGCAGCCGUGGUAAUACGUAGGGUGCAAGCGUUAAUCGGAAUUACUGGGCGUAAAGCGUGCGCAGGCGGUUAUAUAAGUCAGAUGUGAAAUCCCCGGGCUCAACCUGGGAACUGCAUUUGAGACUGUAUAGCUAGAGUACGGUAGAGGGGGAUGGAAUUCCGCGUGUAGCAGUGAAAUGCGUAGAUAUGCGGAGGAACACCGAUGGCGAAGGCAAUCCCCUGGACCUGUACUGACGCUCAUGCACGAAAGCGUGGGGAGCAAACAGGAUUAGAUACCCUGGUAGUCCACGCCCUAAACGAUGUCAACUGGUUGUUGGGUCUUAACUGACUCAGUAACGAAGCUAACGCGUGAAGUUGACCGCCUGGGGAGGACGGCCGCGAGUAGUAACGUACGAAGAAGUUAGACGGCGUGAGACGUGCCGACGGACGACGACGAGGGAGGAGGG